GACAGAGGUCCCGAGCGUUAGGCGGGAUCACUGGGCUUAAAGCGUGUGUAGGCGGCGGCCUAAGUACCUUGUGAAAUCCCACGGCUCACCCGUGGAACUGCUCGGUAUACUGGGUCGCUUGAGCCACUUAGGGGCUACCGGAACAAAUGGUGGAGCGGUGAAAUGCGUAGAUAUCAUUUGGAACGCCAAUGGUGAAAACAGGUAGCUGGGAGUGUGCUGACGCUGAGACACGAAAGCCAGGGGAGCAAACGGG
RNAcentral lists this ribosomal RNA (253 nucleotides) under uncultured bacterium. Its description in RNAcentral is "partial 16S ribosomal RNA". It matches the Rfam family "Bacterial small subunit ribosomal RNA", at positions 524 to 776 of the family's 1533-position model. The record is from RNAcentral.